UACGUAGGGGGCAAGCGUUGUCCGGAAUCAUUGGGCGUAAAGCGCGUGUAGGCGGCUUGGUAAGUCCGCUCUGAAAGCCCGGGGCUCAACCCCGGGAGGCGGGUGGAUACUGUCAAGCUCGAGUCCGGAAGAGGCGAGUGGAAUUCCUGGUGUAGCGGUGAAAUGCGCAGAUAUCAGGAGGAACACCAAUGGCGAAGGCAGCUCGCUGGGACGUGACUGACGCUGAGACGCGAAAGCGUGGGGAGCGAACCGG
This 253-nucleotide ribosomal RNA is filed under the name uncultured bacterium. RNAcentral describes it as "partial 16S ribosomal RNA". It matches the Rfam family "Bacterial small subunit ribosomal RNA", at positions 524 to 776 of the family's 1533-position model. The record is from RNAcentral.